Molecule: small nuclear RNA, 100 nt
Organism: Colobus angolensis palliatus
Lineage: Eukaryota; Metazoa; Chordata; Mammalia; Primates; Cercopithecidae
Source: Ensembl
UUGCUUCCUUUAGCAGCACAUAUAUUAAAUUGGACUGAUACAAAUAGUGUGACCCCUAUGCAAGGAUAACAUACAAAUUUGUAAACAGUUCCAUAUUUUU